Molecule: long non-coding RNA, 248 nt
Organism: Hippocampus comes (tiger tail seahorse)
Lineage: Eukaryota; Metazoa; Chordata; Actinopteri; Syngnathiformes; Syngnathidae
Exons: 2
Source: RefSeq, a predicted model, not a curated record
CCGCCGCGAACAGGAACCAGCCAACUUGGCCUUUCUGACUUAAAUCAACAGGUUAUGAUUCAUUCUUGUUAAAUAAUAUGUUCUGCCUUCACUCAAAAUUUAGACUGCGCCAAAUACAAGAGUUUUUUUCAUAGUCUGGAUCCACGCACCGCUCCUUUUCUUCUUCGUCUUGUUUAUCGGCGAUUAGCACGGAUCCAGUGCUUCUUCUCUACUGGCACAAAUAAAACUUUGGCGCUACUGCUCCUAAC